Molecule: ribosomal RNA, 441 nt
Filed under: uncultured bacterium
Lineage: Bacteria
Description: partial 16S ribosomal RNA
Rfam family: Bacterial small subunit ribosomal RNA
Source: RNAcentral
CCUACGGUGGGCAGCAGUGGGGGAUAUUGCACAAUGGGGGGAACCCUGAUGCAGCGACGCCGCGUGGGUGAAGGAGUGCUUCGGCAUGUAAAGCCCUAUCGGCAGGGAAGAAGCAAGACGGUACCUGACUAAGAAGCCACGGCUCACUACGUGCCAGCAGCCGCGGUAAUACGUAGGGGGCGAGCGUUAUCCGGAUUCACUGGGUGUAAAGGGAGGGUAGACGGCCAUGCAAGCCAGGGGUGAAAGGCUGGGGCUCAACCCCCGGACUGCUCUGGAAACUGGACGGCUGGAGUGCAGGAGAGGUAAGUGGAAUUCCUGGUGUAGCGGUGAAAUGCGUAGAUAUUAGGAGGAACACCAGUGGCGAAGGCGGCUUACUGGACUGUAACUGACGUUGAGGCUCGAAAGCGUGGGGAGCAAACAGGAUUAGAUACCCCUGUAGUC